Non-coding RNA from Delphinapterus leucas (beluga whale), 1136 nucleotides. Lineage: Eukaryota; Metazoa; Chordata; Mammalia; Artiodactyla; Monodontidae. The record is from RefSeq and is a predicted model, not a curated record.
UUGGUUAAGAAGUAUCUGAAAAGAAAACUGGGUAUUUCUGUUCCAUUUCUCUAAUAGCAAAGAAAACAAAGACUGGGAAAAUCUGAUAAUGCCCAUUUCAACAUGACCUGGGAGGGAAUCCAAGAAAGCAAGCAAAUAAAUAAAUCACUUACUAUUAUGAAGCGUGGAAAGCACAGUGAUCUCCGACCUAAGCAAGGAAAUAAUCACUAUUCAUAUAGUGCUUUAAAAACACAGUUAUUAAAGGAGACCUGUGGAAACUUAUUCUGGAUGUAGCAGAUGAACUUAAUUCCCGCAGCUGAUUGCAUCCUGGCAACCGUAAGUGGCAAUGCUCUGGGUUAAAAGGCAAUGUGACUUUUGGCCUAGAAGAGACAGGGAUCAUUGUGCGAACUGUCUCCACCCCUUUGUCUUAGUUCCCUCCCAGACUGAGCACAGGGCCUGCUGGUUCCACCCCAAAUCCAGAGUUGGAGUAGAGAGAUUAGAUUGAACACUGACAUCAUGAAGUUGAAAUUAUUUUCUAGAAGCAGUGUCUGUUGGCCUCUGGGGAUGCUGAAACCUCCUCUGCCUACUGUGGUAACCAGGUCCUAAUCCCCGGAACCUGUGGAUAUGAUACCUUACAUAGCAAAUGUGACGAAGAACCUUGAGAUGUUAGCCUGGAUUCUCCAGGUGGGUCCAAUGUAAUUGCAAGCGUCUUUACAAGUGAAAGUGAGAGACAGGUGAAUCAAGGUGACUCGAAGAUUCUACACCGCUGGCUUUGAAAAUGGAGGAAGGGACUGCAAGCCGAGGAAUGCGGGCAGCCUCUAGAAGCUGGAAAAGGCAAGGAAAUAGAUUCUGGCCUAGAGUCUCCAGAAGGAGCACAGCCGUACUGACCCAUUUUAGAUGUCUGACUUCCAGAACUAUGAGAUAAUAAAUGAUAGUUAAGACUGAAAGAACUAAGAAGGCACUACUGCGUUCUUGUUCCGCAACCAGGCAACCCCAAACUGGGGUCCUCAGCAGUGAGCCAGGGGGUAAGAAGACACUGUAUAAACAUGGCGCAUCUUCUGGGAAAGUCAACUUUACUCAAAGGUUCUCACACACAGUGACAGCUAGCAGCGUCCAAAGUGCUGACAUGAUGACUUAGAGAUGUGAUAAAGAGAAAC